AUACGUAGGGUGCAAGCGUUAAUCGGAAUUACUGGGCGUAAAGCGUGCGCAGGCGGUUUUGUAAGACAGAGGUGAAAUCCCCGGGCUCAACCUGGGAACUGCCAUUGUGACUGCAAGGCUGGAGUGCGGCAGAGGGGGAUGGAAUUCCGCGUGUAGCAGUGAAAUGCGUAGAUAUGCGGAGGAACACCGAUGGCGAAGGCAAUCCCCUGGGCCUGCACUGACGCUCAUGCACGAAAGCGUGGGGAGCAAACAGGAUUAGAUACCCUGGUAGUCCACGCCCUAAACGAUGUCAACUGGUUGUUGGGGAUUUAUUUUCUCAGUAACGAAGCUAACGCGUGAAGUUGACCGCCUGGGGAGUACGGCCGCAAGGUUAAAACUCAAAUGAAUUGACGGGG
This 395-nucleotide ribosomal RNA is filed under the name uncultured bacterium. Its description in RNAcentral is "partial 16S ribosomal RNA". It matches the Rfam family "Bacterial small subunit ribosomal RNA", at positions 523 to 918 of the family's 1533-position model. The record is from RNAcentral.